CGAACGGAAAACACCGUACGAAGCGGGAGCGAGCCCCCUCGCAGGAACCAGAGAUCGAUGCCCUAUGCCGCCGCCGCCGCCGAUGCCUCCUCCUCCACCUCCAUUCCCAAGCGACGGCGUCCGCGGCCGCAGUCUUCUCCCCCAGCCACCAUGGCUGCAGAUCCACCCACGGCCGGUCGUCUAAGCUGCAAGCAUGGAUGGAUGGAUCCAGGAAGGUAUCCUUCCUCCCUGGGUGGAGCGAGCUGCAGAUCCCGUCCGGCCCUCUGGAGCCGGCCAUCUCCGCCUCCUCCUCGCCGCCGCCGGGGAUCACGUCUUCACCAAGCGCGAGCUCCGCCCCAUCCGACCGACCGCAAAGGGGUGAGUUUUCUUCAUCCCGAACCCUCCUGAUUUGCUUACUGCACUGUUGCCAUUCCAAUGGAGACCAACCUCUUCUGGCAACGCACGGGCAUGCUACUCCUCUCCCUCCCAAUAUCGCCAUGGAUUUCGCGCUGCUGGAGCCCUUCCUCUCCCUCCCCGAUCUGCCGUGGAUCUUGUGCUGCUAGACCUGCUCCUCUCCCUCCCAAUGGAUCUCGCGCUGCUGGAGCCUUCCUCUCCCUCCCCGAUCUGCCAUGGAUCUCGCGGUGCUGGAGCCCUUCCUCUCCCUCCCCGAUCUGCCCUCGAUGUGGUCUCCUUCUGUAGCGCCUCCCCAUUAGUUAGGCAUUCCAUUCACCAGGUACGUACAUGCAUCUCGCGUUGGAGGAGAUUGAUCGGGACAAAGCAGGCUACACGGAACCACUCCAAGCUCCUAUACUAUCGCCUCGUGUGUUGCCUGCUCCACCUCCUUACGGAUACGCUGCUUCUUUUUCAUGUCCCAUCCGCUGGUGUCCACACUGCCCCUUGACUCUAUCUGAAGCGAGGCAGACCUUGCCUACAAGCCUCAGUCCAGUGCACGAGUGUUCGUCCUGAUUCUUCUAACUGAUGAAGCUUUUGUCGAUCGUACUAUUUUCGGGUGCUAUCAGUCCAAGUGUUCAUCCAUUCUGAUCUAUUUCUUUGGAUAAUUUAUGGAGGUUGUGGUUCUGGUAUUUGUACGUGUUCGCAAAUUGUUCACGAGGCCUGGUUAGUAUCUUAUAGACUGCAAAAGCACAUCUCUUAGUUCUUUAAUAUGCAAUUACUUAGAUUUAUAGUCGUAAAUGUAUAUCAUUAAUGCCAGGUUCUGUUACUUAUGGUUGUUGUCAAAGGAGGAAAUAAUAGGGAGGAUUGGAGAUGCACGGGGCAUGCCAUGGCAAUGAAGCGUACACCGUGGACAACUAAGCGUACACCAUGUUAAUAAAAUUUUAUAUGUCCAAUUUAUGAUUUUGUGUCAGUUCUGAUGGUUUGAGAAAAAUUAAGUGAUCCAACAUAAACAAAAGCUAAUUACUUCAAUUCAGUUAUGCAAGCUGAAGAAGGUACAAACUAUUAACUCUGAUCUUCUAAUGCUUCCUCUCUUUUUAAUGUGGUUUAGCUCAACAAACAAUAUUUUCUUUCUGGCAUACUGCACUAGCUCUAAUUUGAGUACUUCAAUUCAGCAUAAAGUAGCUUAUUUGCCCUCCUAUGGUUAAUCUACAAUGAUAUGUACUGUCCUCAAGUACACUGUCGUGUUUUGGCAAGCGAUUUGAAGCUAGCGUGCUGUAUUUUUGCAGGCGGUUGCUUUAAUCCAAUUUUGCAAGCAAUCUGAAACCAACAAGCCUUGUUUCUUGCCAAAGUGGUGGCUUUACAUGCCAACAGUACUUGUGGUGUGUAGUUUAAAUUGUUUAAGGAAGUUUUGAUUUUCCCCACCAAAAAGGAAGACUUGAUUUGAUGCCUCUAACUGAUUAUAUCCUUAAUCAAACAAUGGAUAUUGAAUAACUGCGUCAUAUUUGGAGGUAACUGUGGCGUGUCAUAUGUUUUGGGAUACAGGUAAUACUAUACUUUACUUACCAAAUUACAUUACUAACAGAAAGUUUACUUAUAAUGAUAGGAAAUCCUAUCUGUAUUGAUGGAGCUAGAACUACAUAGUAUAAUCAACAUGUGUCUAGCUCAGAGCCUUUGUCCUCUAAUUCCAUGUUAUGUAUGCUUUCUCCUAAAGUUUCCAUGAAUUUUGCUUUACACCAAAAACUUAAUCGAACUCCUUCAGGGACAAAAGUAAACAUAUACUACAUAUCUUGAUAUAUAUAUGCCUCUUCCUCUGAGUAGUAUGCCCCAAUUUUUAGUUCUUCAUAUACAUUUUCUCUUGCAUAGUAUAUUAAAUUUUCUCAAAAAAGGUACAUGCUUCUAUUAUGCAUAGAUAGUGUAUGAAACAUCUUUUUAAUUAAGAUGUCCUUCAGUAAAAAUAUUGUGGAUUAGGAAUAUUUGGAUAACAUACAAGAUAUGUACCCUUGCCUUUUCCCGAAAAGACUAGACGCCCAUUGUGAGUUGGAAACAUCUGUAUAUUCUUUUUCAAGUAGAGUUAGGAAUCUAUUUUUAAUUAAGAAACAUAUUUUGUCUGAAGGGUGGAAAUGCACCUUUCAUAAACUUAGGGCAGCACAAGCGCACAACCAGUUACCGUCAUCUCCAAAUGUGCCGAUAUAAUUGGCAAUGCAUGUUUCUACAUAUUUUAAGUAUACACUAGGACAAUGCCUGUGCGUUGCUACAGGAAAAAUAAUAUUAUUUUCAUAUCCGUAGCUCAAAGCACUCAUAUGUGCAUGGAUCAUAUAGUCAAGUGAAUCAUCAAGAUUUGUCGUAAAUAAAAAGUUCAUUCAGCUUAAUCCACUUUUUGUUAAAGCAUCGUGCAUGCAGCCAUGCUUCGCUAGGAGCCGACAUUCCUUCCAAUAUCAUUGACAUUCCCCAAAAAAGAUGACACUAUAGGCCAAGUGAUUUUAAAAAAAAAUUAUUCGCGAAAACAAGCCAAGUAAUUUAACUGAUGUUCCAUUGGAAGAGUAAACAUGCAUGACAACAACCUUAUGGACUACAUCAUUGAAACAUCCUCAACACGUAUAUUAUUUUCAUUUGAAAUUCAUUUACAUGUAUUUCUAUGCACUGAGCUCGUUAAUAUGGAUGUUAAUUAUGUUGAGAUUGCUCCUAUGAGCACAUUCAUAGACCUCAACACGGAUGUCCUCAUUAAAUGUUGUGUGUGUAAUAUAUUUUAAAUUCUUUUUGGUUUGGUUAUACAGCUUCCAAAACAUGGCUACAACGAACUUGCUCCUAUGAGCACAUUCUUGUUUUGUUUCUCAAGGACGGGUAAAUAUAUAAUCUUUUUAGCUCAGUAUGAGAUUGAAUUGGUCACAACAAUAGAGUGAUUUCAUUUAUAUGUAUCAAAUACAUCAAGACAGAGUAACUGGCAGUCUGGCACUAAUUAGAAUGAUACAGUGUAUUGUUUUGUUUCUCCGAGGAUGUUACAGUAAGUCUGUGUCUAGAGAUUUUGAUUCUGCAAAAUUCACACACUAUAGCAUAUAUACCAUUGCGUAAGAUAACCCUCUAUUUAGUGCCAUGAUGCCAUUAGUAUACAAAUUGCGCCUCCAGCCCUGCCAUCUAUCAUGAACCUGUAUGCUUGUGUCCGGAUUCUUCGUAAUAUGCUACUGUGAUUUCCUUUGUUGUUGUCGACUCGUUUAGGGGAGCCACCUGUCAGCACCAUGUCUGGAAACAGCUGUGCGGUCUAGAAUAAAAAUAUGUAUUAGACAUGGGUAGGAUAUUGAGGGUCAGGUUAAUUCCAAGAAGAGGGUCUUCUGAAUGUUGUUUCCUUGUCGCCGAAGACAGUUGACUCUGAGGAAUGUAGGUAGGCUGGCUAUGUCGCCGAGCUUGAGGGAGAGCCCACUACCUUUUCUGAUUAAUGUUGUUUAUGUUUAGAGCUGGUCCUAACAACCAUAUACAGCUAAAAGAAAAACAUCCUAAUCUAAUGUUAUCUCACCUAGAAGAAAAGCAUCCUAAUUUAAUGUUAUCUCUGAUUUCUUUUGCAAAUGUUAUUGUUCGUAAUUUCCGAGCUUGUGUAACGUCUUUGUUUUAUUGGUGUCCAUUGGGAGUAUUCUUAUGCAGGAUUGCUUCUUCAGACUGCAAAUGAAGCUUGUGCACUCUGGGAGGCGACGAAUAAACUUCAGAAGAAGUUGGAUGAUCUUACUUUACGGAAUCGAAGAGGGACGAUGUGGUUCGGUGGUCAACGCCUGCUAUGCGGGAUGCAGUAUGGUAUGGCUCGGGCAUCUCGAGAAGGGGCUCUGUCCGCAAGGCCUCCUCCACGCCAGUGUGUUCUCUGAUGAAAACCUUCUCUUCGCUCACGCACGCACCGACGCAACUGACCAGCCGCGGAGGUGUUCGAGGAUUCUGUCCCGGGGCUGCGCAUGGAGCUCGUCAACGUCUGUGUCUUGCCAUUGCUCAACACCGCCCUGCCGGCUGGGGUUCUUAUUUGCCAUCGAGGCCUUCCGCAAUAGGGUCCAUGGUGCCUGAUUGCUUCCUCUCGGACUGGAUCAGGGGUCCAACCACCCAGUAAGCUAUACCUCAUCUUCCCUCUUCUCUUAAAAUAUCUAUAUGGUUCUUGGUCUGAUUCUCAAUAAAGAGCUCAAACUCGAGAUGAGUUUUUGGUUAUCCUGUCCUAUUUUGUUGGUACAGUUUAUUGUACUACUGUCUUGAGUGGCUAAUAUUUACUGAGAUGGGGUAAUAGGUAUAGUGUUUUUCUAUUUCAAUACUUCAUGUGAUUUCUUCCUGGUCUAUGUCAAUUUAUGUUUGUUCUGAAUAAUUUACCAACACAGUCCAGGUUCAUGUGCAUAGCACAUGUUAAAAAAAUCUCAAAUAUCUGCAUGGUAUAUAUAUAUCCAAUCAUUAUCUUUUCCAGAAUGAAGAAAAGGUAUGAGAAAGAUAAUACUAAUAUUCAUGUAGUUGCAAUUGCAACCAGAGAAUCCAUGGUGUGUUGGUUUGUUUCUGAUUAUAUGCAUGAUCUUUCCUUUGAAAUUUAAAUAUUUAUUAGAUUGUAGAAUUGCCAGUUAUAGAAAAUAUGACAAGGUAUUUUCAGUUGUGAUAUCACAGUGUCCUUUUUGUGAUUUUCAUUUGUAGCACUGAGUUGUGCAGAUUUAUGAUGGUCAAAAUAUUGCUGGCUAAAUCUAUUUCCCCUGAAUUAGUAGAGUUAUUUGUUCCAUUGUGCACACCUGAAUAUUCAGAGUAAUAUGCAGGCAACAACAUCUACAUGUACUCGGUCAAUCACUACUCUGCACUAGAAAAUUUCUAUGAGCACACUUAAGUAGUAACCUUAUGUUGGUAUGCAUAUGAGAAAUAAGAUCUAUAUUAUUUAUCUUGAACCUGCAAAUCAUUUUAGACCACUGAGUGCAUUCUGAAAAAUUGCUUGUUUGGCUAAGGUUAAGAGAUCUAGCAAAUGAGUCCAGGUCUCAAAGAACAAGGUGCAUGUUGAGUAUUUCUCCUCCCUCCCCAUCUGGGCGAAGAAGACAUGCUGGACUUGGGCGACUUCCACAUCUCCCUCCUUGACGGCGUCUAGAAGAUACUCGGCAAAUUCUAAACAGAUUCAUGACAGUACUGGUACCAAGUGAAAACGAAUUCUUGCUAUGAUAUGGAUCCCUGUUCUGAUUUUAGUGAAAAGUUUUCUUGCUCUUAUAUGGAUCAUCCCAUGUUCUGAUUUUGAGUGGAGAGUUUAGUUUCUUAAGUCUUGUCAUUAACAUGAAACUGAGAUAUUCUGUUCGCAUGACCUCUAGGGCCGUACAGGGAAACCAUGACGCCCCUGUUGGGGAGCUCUUAGUUGCAGCGCAAACUGCAAGGCUUUGUCAACUCACUCCUGUUUACUAAGCGCUAUGGCUUCUUUCUGCAGAAGAUGGAUAGUUUUGUGCUUGUUCUCUUCACCAGCUUCUUCAUGAACUACUAAUAUGACUACAUUUCGACCAUGUCAUUCAGUUCUAGCAAAAACAUUAACUUUACAUAUUGUAUAUAUAUAACCAGGUUCAUGGGUACAAAAGCGGACAGAGGAGAUGAGGAGCAUGCACCAUGGCAGAAUCAUCGAGGGACAGCUGGAUAAAGUAACAAUUGUGGAGCACAAUAGUGGUGGACAUAGACCCUGUGAAGAGAGGUGGGAGGAAAAUAUUGUCUGUGUCAAUAUAUGGUAAAAUAAUAUGAUGCAAUGAAGAAACAGUGUUGAUGUUUUGAAAUAUUUGUUUCACGUCGUGACAACAGUGGCGUUAAUUUAUUCAUUUGCAAGGAUGUAUCUGACUAUUUUGUUGUUGUCUUAAAAUAUUUGUGCGGCACUUCAUGGCAACAGUGCCAAUAACUUAUUCAUUUGUAAGGAAGUGUCUGAAUA
This is a long non-coding RNA of Aegilops tauschii subsp. strangulata, 6259 nucleotides long. RefSeq lists it as uncharacterized. NCBI's taxonomy places the organism in Eukaryota, Viridiplantae, Streptophyta, Magnoliopsida, Poales, Poaceae. The record is from RefSeq and is a predicted model, not a curated record.